ACUAAGUUUCAACAACGGAUCUCUUGGCUCUCGCUUCGAUGAAGAACGCAGCGAAAUGCGAUAAGUAAUGUGAAUUGCAGAAUUCAGUGAAUCAUCGAAUCUUUGAACGCACCUUGCGCUCCUUGGUAUUCCUUGGAGCAUGCCUGUUUGAGUAUCAUGAAAU
This 163-nucleotide ribosomal RNA is filed under the name Thanatephorus cucumeris. RNAcentral's name for it is "5.8S ribosomal RNA". It matches the Rfam family "5.8S ribosomal RNA". Rfam says of the family: 5.8S ribosomal RNA (5.8S rRNA) is a component of the large subunit of the eukaryotic ribosome. It is transcribed by RNA polymerase I as part of the 45S precursor that also contains 18S and 28S rRNA. The record is from RNAcentral. Lineage: Eukaryota; Fungi; Basidiomycota; Agaricomycetes; Cantharellales; Ceratobasidiaceae.